CUCCGGUUCCCGUUUCUUUAGUUGCACGAUCUCUCUUCACUUUGAUCGCAUUCGAUAGAUCGUCGCUUUAGAUUCACGGCGUCCCGAUGCACGCUUUCAAGUUCCGAUCCUAUUCGGAUGCAUGACGGCAUCGGGUGGAUCUCAAUCGAAUGCUUUCUUGGGGGUUGUUCUUCGGAAAGGCUUCGUCUCCGAGUCCAUUACUCAGGACUCUUGAGAUCAACCACAGGUGACGGACACAGCCAAUAUCUCGACCUUCUGAAGCUAUUAGAAAAGGAAAUUGGCAGAAUUUGACGAGUCUUCAGUGGAUCAUGCAAGCUCAACUCAGGUCAAAGGAGGAGAUCUAAUGGCCUUUUUUUGUAUGGUCAGGAAAGCCAAACUUGCAAAUCAUGCUAGAAAAGGUGUACAAUGCUUUUUUCCAGGAAAGAAAGAAAUGGUGGUUGCUCCUCCGAUCUACAUCAGGAACUUCAAUCAGAUGAUCAAACUCCAUGGUACUUCUUCAACCUCUCUCUUAUUUAUGAUCCAAUAUCUUUAUAAGUCGAUUUAUAUUUGACGUGCAAAAUAUAACUUGAAUAUACUAUGCAAGUCCGAUACAUAUCACAUCAAUAAUUUUAAUUCACUGAUGUAAA
Musa acuminata subsp. malaccensis (wild Malaysian banana) is the source of this 626-nucleotide non-coding RNA. NCBI's taxonomy places the organism in Eukaryota, Viridiplantae, Streptophyta, Magnoliopsida, Zingiberales, Musaceae. The record is from RefSeq and is a predicted model, not a curated record.